Molecule: ribosomal RNA, 377 nt
Filed under: uncultured eukaryote
Lineage: Eukaryota
Description: partial 18S ribosomal RNA
Rfam family: Eukaryotic small subunit ribosomal RNA
Source: RNAcentral
CAAUAGCGUAUAUUUAAGUUGCUGCAGUUAAAAAGCUCGUAGUUGGAUUUCGGGUGGGAAUGGCCGGUCCGCCGUUUCGGUGUGCACUUGCUACGCCCACCUUGCUGCCGGGGACGUGCUCUUGAGUUCACGCUCGGGACACGGAGUCGGCGAGGUUACUUUGAGUAAAUUAGAGUGUUCAAAGCAGGCCUACGCUCUGAAUACAUUAGCAUGGAAUAACACGAUAGGACUCUGGCCUAUCUUGUUGGUCUGUAGGACCGGAGUAAUGAUUAAGAGGGACAGUCGGGUGCAUUCGUAUUUCAUUGUCAGAGGUGAAAUUCUUGGAUUUAUGAAAGACGAACUACUGCGAAAGCAUUUGCCAAGGAUGUUUUCAUUAA